AACGAACGCUGGCGGCGCGUCUUAAGCAUGCAAGUCGAACGGCAAGAGAGGAGCUUGCUUCUCUCCUAGAGUGGCGGACUGGUGAGGAACACGUGGGUAAUCUACCCUUAAGAUGGGGAUAGCUGCUAGAAAUAGCAGGUAAUACCGAAUACACUCGGCAUAUCACAAGAGGUGUUGAGGAAAGGAAGCUACGGCUUCGCUUGAGGAUGAGCUUGCGUCCCAUUAGCUAGUUGGUGAGGUAAAGGCCCACCAAGGCGACGAUGGGUAUCCGGCCUGAGAGGGUGAACGGACACAUUGGGACUGAGAUACGGCCCAAACUCCUACGGGAGGCAGCAGCUAAGAAUAUUCCGCAAUGGACGGAAGUCUGACGGAGCGACGCCGCGUAGAUGAAGAAGGCUGAAAAGUUGUAAAAUCCUUUUGUUGAUGAAGAAUAAGGGUGAGAGGGAAUGCUCAUCUGAUGACGGUAAUCGACGAAUAAGCCCCGGCUAAUUACGUG
RNAcentral lists this ribosomal RNA (496 nucleotides) under uncultured bacterium. RNAcentral's name for it is "partial 16S ribosomal RNA". It matches the Rfam family "Bacterial small subunit ribosomal RNA", at positions 29 to 507 of the family's 1533-position model. The record is from RNAcentral.